GUCCACGCUGUAAACGAUGAAUGCUAGGUGUGGGGCCAAAAGGCUUCCGUGCCGCAGUUAACACAAUAAGCAUUCCACCUGGGGAGUACGGCCGCAAGGUUGAAACUCAAAGGAAUUGACGGGAGCCCGCACAAGCAGUGGAGUAUGUGGUUUAAUUCGACGCAACGCGAAGAACCUUACCGGAGCUUGACAUCCCUCUGACGUACCGAGUAAUGUUGGUAUUCCCUUCGGGGCAGAGGAGACAGGUGGUGCAUGGUUGUCGU
RNAcentral lists this ribosomal RNA (263 nucleotides) under uncultured bacterium. RNAcentral describes it as "partial 16S ribosomal RNA". It matches the Rfam family "Bacterial small subunit ribosomal RNA", at positions 793 to 1055 of the family's 1533-position model. The record is from RNAcentral.